RNAcentral lists this non-coding RNA (23 nucleotides) under Arabidopsis thaliana (thale cress). The record is from RNAcentral. Lineage: Eukaryota; Viridiplantae; Streptophyta; Magnoliopsida; Brassicales; Brassicaceae.
UGGAGAGGAUCCUGUUGCAAGGU